UCGUAACAAAGGUGCGGGAGGUGCACUCGGGCUGUCGCCGACCCGAAAAGGUCGUGCACGUCGGAGGGCAUCCUCUCGUGCGAAAUCCAUCUCACCCUUUUGUGCACCACCGCGUGGGCCCCCUUCUCGGAGGGGGCUCGCGUUUUCCACACAAACCCCCUUUGUAAACAUACAUAGAAGGAACCCACUGUUUGCGUUGACACGCGAUCAAUA
This 213-nucleotide unclassified non-coding RNA is filed under the name uncultured Russulales. RNAcentral describes it as "sequence contains ITS1". The record is from RNAcentral. Lineage: Eukaryota; Fungi; Basidiomycota; Agaricomycetes; Agaricales.